CUCAAUAGUCUGGAAUUGCAGGAAGGAGAAGCACAGAUUUCCCCAGGGGUCACUAGAGGUCAUGAGAACAAUUCAAUAAUGAGAACAUCCUUGAGGAUCACAGAGUCCAGAGUCCCCAGAGAGAGAGGCAGGAAUCAUGUCUUGUAGAUGGCGAGUUACCUACACAUAUGUCUAGAGAAGAACAAUCCAAUAACGAGAACAUCCUUGAGGAUCACAGAGUCCAGAGUCCCAGAGAGAGACAGAGCAAUCAUGGCUUGUAGAUGCAAGCAGCUCAACAUCUCAAGAUCUCAAGAUAGUACAUCUUCUUGACUUGGUCAUGUCUAGGCUCAUCUACAUGCUUUGAGAGGAAAAAGUGAAAAGCGAAGAAUCACUGUUGGAGCAGCCAUAUUUCACAUAGAGAUUUUCCCAUCAACCCUGUCCUGUUUUGAAGACUAUAUGAAACAGAAAGUCCUAGUGUGCCCUUUACUGCCUUUCAGGCCUUCCUGGGUCCAUACUGGUGCUCUUCUAGAAAGAGGAGAGAAAGAAAAUAGAUUGCACCAACAUUG
Molecule: long non-coding RNA, 545 nt
Organism: Cercocebus atys (sooty mangabey)
Lineage: Eukaryota; Metazoa; Chordata; Mammalia; Primates; Cercopithecidae
Exons: 6
Source: RefSeq, a predicted model, not a curated record